UACGUAGGGUGCGAGCGUUGUCCGGAAUCACUGGGCUUAAAGGGCGCGUAGGCGGGCCGCCGCGUCCGGGGUGAAAUCCCCCCGCUCAACGGGGGAACGGCCUCGGAUACGGGCGGUCUGGAGGCGGGUAGGGGCACGCGGAACUGUGGGUGGAGCGGUGAAAUGCGUUGAGAUCCACAGGAACGCCGGUGGCGAAAGCGCGCGACUGGACCUCUUCUGACGCUGAGGCGCGAAAGCCAGGGGAGCGAACAGG
RNAcentral lists this ribosomal RNA (253 nucleotides) under uncultured bacterium. RNAcentral's name for it is "partial 16S ribosomal RNA". It matches the Rfam family "Bacterial small subunit ribosomal RNA", at positions 524 to 776 of the family's 1533-position model. The record is from RNAcentral.